Molecule: ribosomal RNA, 253 nt
Filed under: uncultured bacterium
Lineage: Bacteria
Description: partial 16S ribosomal RNA
Rfam family: Bacterial small subunit ribosomal RNA
Source: RNAcentral
UACGGGGGGGGCAAGCGUUGUUCGGAAUUACUGGGCGUAAAGGGCUCGUAGGUUGCCAACUAAGUCAGACGUGAAAUCCCUCGGCUUAACCGGGGAACUGCGUCUGAUACUGGAUGGCUUGAGUUCGGGAGAGGGAUGCGGAAUUCCAGGUGUAGCGGUGAAAUGCGUAGAUAUCUGGAGGAACACCGGUGGCGAAGGCGGCCUCCUGGACCGACACUGACACUGAGGAGCGAAAGCCAGGGGAGCAAACGGG